GGUUUGGUAGCUCAGUUGGUAGAGCAAAGGACUGAAAAUCCUUGUGUCGGGGGUUCAAUUCCCUCCCAAACCA
RNAcentral lists this transfer RNA (73 nucleotides) under Bacteroidota bacterium. RNAcentral's name for it is "tRNA-Phe". It matches the Rfam family "tRNA". Rfam says of the family: Transfer RNA (tRNA) molecules are approximately 80 nucleotides in length. Their secondary structure includes four short double-helical elements and three loops (D, anti-codon, and T loops). The record is from RNAcentral. RNAcentral also lists the same sequence under 1 other name. Lineage: Bacteria; Pseudomonadati; Bacteroidota.